Molecule: long non-coding RNA, 649 nt
Organism: Diceros bicornis minor
Lineage: Eukaryota; Metazoa; Chordata; Mammalia; Perissodactyla; Rhinocerotidae
Exons: 3
Source: RefSeq, a predicted model, not a curated record
GGACUGAAAGAGGGGCAAUGGAGGGGCCUUGACCAGAGGGCUGGGGCCUCUGACACUGGACAAAUCAUGGGAUUCUCCACCCAUGACGAUGCCUGCUGUUGACUGCAGCCUAAGACACAUGAAGGCCCAUCACCCAGGACACCGUCUGGGGCUCCUAUACCACAGGUUGUGAGACACUGACACUGGAGAACAGAGGAAGUUGGCAGAGUGCCUGCGAGUCCCCUGGCAGAUCCCUGUCCUGGCAGAUGGGCCUUAUGUGAGUGCCCAGGACCCUUCCUCGAACCACAACUGUGCCAGGGACAGCACACCACCCACACCAUCCCACCAACUGCCCCCUGGGCUUGAGCUGUGAACUCAGAUUCCUCUGAGGAACCUGCUUCCAGUCCUGCUGCGGGGCAGUGAGAAGUGGGGAAAAGCCUGGCAGCUCAACAACCUGAGGCCCAAGAUGGUGAUCGCUGCACUGCCGUGAACUGCUCCCACUGCCGGGCAAUGAGGAGAAACGGCUGUCGCCUUCCACAGGGAGCCUGCCUUGAUCUCUGUGAUCAGGAAUGUGGCUGAGCAAAUGGAGCUUGUACCUCCAGGAUGGACGUGCCUCCCAGAUGCUAGUUGCUAGAAGAGUCCUGGCAGUGGAGGGAAAGUUGGCUCUGCA